Molecule: ribosomal RNA, 169 nt
Filed under: Luvarus imperialis (luvar)
Lineage: Eukaryota; Metazoa; Chordata; Actinopteri; Acanthuriformes; Luvaridae
Description: partial small subunit ribosomal RNA
Source: RNAcentral
CACCGCGGUUAUACGAGAGACCCAAGUUGUUAGACACCGGCGUAAAGAGUGGUUAGGGUAAAUUUAAGACUAAAGCCGAACACCUUCAAAGCUGUUAUACGCACCCGAAGGUAUGAAGUUCAACCACGAAAGUAGCUUUAUAUUAUCUGAACCCACGAAAGCUAGGGUA